RNAcentral lists this ribosomal RNA (253 nucleotides) under uncultured bacterium. RNAcentral describes it as "partial 16S ribosomal RNA". It matches the Rfam family "Bacterial small subunit ribosomal RNA", at positions 524 to 776 of the family's 1533-position model. The record is from RNAcentral.
UACGUAGGGGGCAAGCGUUGUCCGGAUUUAUUGGGCGUAAAGCGCUCGCAGGUGGUCCGCUGCGUCGUGCGUGAAAGACCCCGGCUCAACUGGGGGAUGUCGUGCGAUACGGGCGGACUGGAGGCCAGUAGGGGGAUGCGGAAUUCCGGGUGUAGUGGUGGAAUGCGUAGAGAUCCGGAGGAACACCAGCGGCGAAGGCAGCUCGCUGGGACGGUACUGACGCUAAGGCGCGAAAGCGUGGGGAGCGAACAGG